Molecule: ribosomal RNA, 487 nt
Filed under: uncultured bacterium
Lineage: Bacteria
Description: partial 16S ribosomal RNA
Rfam family: Bacterial small subunit ribosomal RNA
Source: RNAcentral
GAUGAACGCUAGCGAUAGGCUUAACACAUGCAAGUCGAGGGGCAGCACAAGGUAGCUUGCUAUCUGGGUGGCGACCGGCGCACGGGUGCGUAACGCGUAUGCAACUUGCCCUAUACAGGAGGAUAACCCGUCGAAAGACGGACUAAUACUGCGUAUGCUCACAACUUGGCAUCAAGUGGUGAGGAAAGAAAUUCGGUAUAGGAUAGGCAUGCGUCCCAUUAGCUUGUUGGUGAGGUAACGGCUCACCAAGGCAACGAUGGGUAGGGGAACUGAGAGGUUUACCCCCCGCACUGGUACUGAGACACGGACCAGACUCCUACGGGAGGCAGCGGUGUGGUCUAUUAGUCGCUAGGCGCGAGCCUGAACCAGCCAAGUCGCGUGAAGGAUGACUGUCUUAUGGAUUGUAAGCUUCUUUUGUACGGGAAUAACAAGAGUCACGUGUGACUCCCUGCAUGUACCGUAUGAAUAAGCAUCGGCUAACUCCGUG